This 253-nucleotide ribosomal RNA is filed under the name uncultured bacterium. RNAcentral describes it as "partial 16S ribosomal RNA". It matches the Rfam family "Bacterial small subunit ribosomal RNA", at positions 524 to 776 of the family's 1533-position model. The record is from RNAcentral.
UACAGAGGUCUCAAGCGUUGUUCGGAUUCAUUGGGCGUAAAGGGUGCGUAGGCGGCGCGGUAAGUCGGGUGUGAAAUCUCGGAGCUUAACUCCGAAACUGCAUUCGAUACUGCCGUGCUUGAGGACUGGAGAGGAGACUGGAAUUUACGGUGUAGCGGUGAAAUGCGUAGAUAUCGUAAGGAAGACCAGUGGCGAAGGCGGGUCUCUGGGCCGAUACUGACGCUGAGGUGCGAAAGCGUGGGGAGCAAACAGG